Molecule: long non-coding RNA, 33851 nt
Filed under: Hordeum vulgare
Lineage: Eukaryota; Viridiplantae; Streptophyta; Magnoliopsida; Poales; Poaceae
Description: long non-coding RNA (HVUL_LNC003275)
Source: RNAcentral
UCGAAGGUGAUGUGGCUGGCGCAGAAGUAGUCGGCCUCGACGGCGAAGGAGGCGGAGUAGAAGGUGCCGACCUGGUGCCCCGACGGGUCGGUGUCCGACGCCCGCGCGUUCCAUGUGAUCACCGUGCGCCCGGUCCCCAUGCCGAUCAGCGACACGAACGGCUUCGUGAUCGGCACCGUCACCUUCUCCCUGCACCCACCACGUCCCAUGCCCUUAGCUUGUUAGUUCAGUUGUUAUUACACCGUCCAACAUAUGCACACAAAAAAGAACUGCAUUGGUAGAAGGUCUUUUCUCGUUGGAGCUAGCCUGCUAAUAGUAUGAACCCAUUCUGCAGUAAUUCCUACUCCUACAUUAUAAACAAAAAUACACGAUAUUUUUCCUGAUUAGAACCAACAUACUCUACAGAUUUAGUAGCCUGCAUUGUCACUAGGAUAGAAAUGGAAAAUUACUAGCUUCUGUAGCUAGCUGCUACCAGCAGGCAGCAAACACAUAGCUAGCUUAGAUGGCUAGAAAUGGCCGGCUGUUGAGAAGCUAGGGAGGAAAGAACACGCUGUAACUUAAUGGCUCCCUUAACUCUUGAAGGCAGUUACUACGAGUCUACUCGAGAUCGAUCGAGGGGCGGCGGUGGUGAUCGCCUCACCUGUACACCCCGGGCCUGACGAGGAUCUUGACCCGGCGAGUGUUCCCGGCGGGCACCAUGUCGACGGCGCCCUGCACGGUCCGCGAGUGCCCCAUCCCNNNNNNNNNNNNNNNNNNNNNNNNNNNNNNNNNNNNNNNNNNNNNNNNNNNNNNNNNNNNNNNNNNNNNNNNNNNNNNNNNNNNNNNNNNNNNNNNNNNNUCAUCACCAACACUCCUCUCGUCGGAGGGGAGUCAUCUCCAUCAACAUCUUCAUAAGCACCAUCUCCUAUCCAAACCCUAGUUUAUCUCUUGUAACCAAUCUCUGUCUCGUGACUCCGAUUGGUACUUAUAAGGUUGCUUGUAGUGUUGAUUACUCUUUCUAGUUGCUGCUAGUUGGAUUACUUGGUGGAAGAGUUUAUGUUCAGAUCCUUGAUGCUACUCAUUACACCUCUGAUCAUGAUUAUGAUUAUUCUUUGUGAGUAGUUACUNUAUGUGAACGUCGACUACAUAACACUUCACCAUAUUUGGGACGAGAGGAAGGCAUUGGGGAGUAGUAAGUAGACGAUGGGUUGCUAGAGUGACAGAAGCUUAAACCCCAGUCUAUGUGUUGCUUCGUAAGGGGCUGAUUUGGAUCCACUAGUUUAAUGCUAUGGUUAGACGUUUUCUUAAUUCUUCUUUCGUAGUUGCGGAUGCUUGCAAGAGGGGUUAAUAAUAAGUGGGAUGCUUGUCCAAGUAAGGGCAGUACCCAAGCACCGGUCCACCCACAUAUCAAACUAUCAAAGUAAUGAACGUGAAUCACAUGAACAUGAUGAAACUAGCAUGACAGAAAUUCCCGUGUGUCCUCGGGAGCGUUUUUCCUCCUAUAAGACUUUGUUCAGGCUUGUCCCUUGGUACAAAAGGGAUUGGGCCACUUUGCGGCACCUUUGCUACUACUUGUUACUUGUUACUUUUCACUUGUUACGUUUCACCUCACUACACCACCACUUGUUACCGCUAGUUUCAGUGCUUGCAGUUAUUACCUUGCUGAAAACCGUUAAUCAGAGCCUUCUACUCCUCGUUGGGGUCGACACUCUUACUUAUAGAAAGGACUAUGAUUGAUCCCCUGUACUUGUGGGUCAUCAAGACUCUUUUCUAGCGCCGUUGCCGGGGAGUGAAGUGCCUUUGGUAAGUGGAAUUUGGUAAGGAAACAUUUAUAUACUGUGCUGAAAUUUAUUGUCAAUUGUCACUAUGGAAACUGUUCCUUUGAGGAAUUUGUUAGGGGUAUCUUCACCACGAACGGAAGCACGAGGAGUUUCUCCUCAACCUGAGGUACCUACUGAAAAUAUCUUUUAUGAAAUUCCUUCGGGUAUGCUUGAGAAACUGCUGGGUAAUCCUUUUACAGGAGAUGGAUCAUCACAUCCGGACUUGCAUCUAAUCUAUAUAGAUGAAGUUUGUGGUUUAUUUAAGCUUGCAGGUUUGCCCAAGGAUGAGGUAAAGAAGAAAGUCUUUCCUUUAUCUUUGAAGGAUAAGGCGUUGACAUGGUAUAGGCUAUGUGAUGAUACUGGAUCAUGGGACUAAAAUUGGUUGAAAUUUGAAUUUCAUCAAAAGUUUUAUCCUAUGCAUUUAGUACACCGUGAUCGGAAUUAUAUUUAUAACUUUUGUCCUCGUGACAGGGAAAGCAUAGCUCAAGCUUGGGGGAGGCUUAAAUCAAUGAUAUAUUCAUGCCCCAAUCAUGAGCUCUCGAGAGAAAUUAUCACUCAAAACUUUUAUGCUCGGCUUUCUCAUGAAGAUUGUACCAUGCUUGACACUUCUUGUACCGGUUCUUUUAUGAAGAGGGAUAUUGACCACAAGUGAAAUUUAUUGGAAAGAAUCAAACAUAACUCUAAAGAUUGGGAGCUUGAAGAAGGUAAGGAGUCAGGUAUGAAUUUCCAGUUUGAUUGCGUUAAAUCUUUUCUUGAAACAAACACUUCUAGAGAUUUUAGCGCUAAGUAUGGACUUGACUCUGAGAUAGCAGCUUCUCUAUGUGAAUCGUUUGCUGAUCAUGUUGAUCUUCCCAAAGAGAAGUGGUUUAAGUAUCAUCCUCCUGUAGAAGUCAACACAGUUAAACCCAAUCUAGUUGAAGAGAAAGUCAUUGCCUUUAGUGAUCCUAUUGUUCCUUGUGCCUAUGUUAAGAAACCACCUUACCCUGCUAGGAAAAAGGAUUAUUCUAAAGCUCCAACUGUGAUACGUAGGGCUUACAUUAGACCACCUGCACCCCUUGAGGAAAUUAGAGUUGAACCUAGUGUUGCUAUUAUCAAAGAUCUCUUAGCCGAAGACCUAGACGGGCAUGUUAUCAAAUUCUGUGAGGACUCCGCUAGAAUUGCUUAACCUCACACGAAAGACAAAUACGGACCUGUAGUUGGCCUGCCCGUUGUUUCUGUCAAGAUAGGAGAUCACUGUUAUCAUGGUUUAUGUGAUAUGGGUGCUAGUGUUUGUGCAAUACCCCGGUCCCUAUAUGAUGAAAUCAAAUAUGAGAUUGCACAUGCUGAGUUAGAACCCAGUGAUGUCACUAUUACGCUAGCUAAUAGAGACACUAUCUGCCCUGUGGGAAUUGUGCGAGAUGUAGAAGUCUUGUGUGGUAAGACGAAGUAUCUUACUGAUUUCCUCGUCCUUGCUACUGCACAAGAUAGCUUUUGUCCCAUCAUAUUUGGCAGACCCUUUCUCAACACUGUCAAUGCUCAUAUUGAUUGCAUUAAAUAAACUAUCACUGUCAGUUUCGAGGGUGUGUCUCAUGAAUUUAACUUCUCCAAGUUUGGAAGACAACCCCAUGAAAAAGAGUCGUCUGGUAGGGAUGAAAUCAUUGCUCUUGCCUCCAUUGUCAUACCUCCUACGGAUCCUCUAGAGCAAUAUCUGCUUGAGCAUGAAAAUGAUAUGCAUAUGGAUGAAAGAGAUGAGAUAGAUAAAAUUGUUUUAGAAGAAUAUCCUAUUCUCAAGAAUAAUCUGCGUGUUGAACUUCUUGGGGAUCCUCCCCCGCCAAAGGGUGAUCCUGUGUUCAAGCUAAAACAGUUACCAGAUACUCUUAAGUAUGCCUACCUUGAUGAGAAGGAGAUAUAUCCUGUUAUUAUUAGUGCUCACCUCUCGAAUCACGAAGAUAAGAAGUUAUUAAAAACUUUGAGGAAGCACCGUGCGUCUAUUGGAUAUACUCUUGAUGAUAUUAAGGGUAUUAGUCCCACUCUAUGUCAGCACAAGAUUAAAUCUGAUCCUGAUUCUAAACCAGUUGUUGAUCAUCAAAGGUGAUUAAAUUCUAGGAUGAAAGGGGUCGUGAGAAAAGAUUUAUUAAAGCUUCUCNNNNNNNNNNNNNNNNNNNNNNNNNNNNNNNNNNNNNNNNNNNNNNNNNNNNNNNNNNNNNNNNNNNNNNNNNNNNNNNNNNNNNNNNNNNNNNNNNNNNGUGACGAUUUCCCCCUCCAGGAGGGAAGUUUCCCCGGCAGGAUCGUCCUGCCCGAGCUCUAGAUUGGUUCUGCUCAAGUUCCGCCUCGUGGCGGCGGAGAAUCCACGAAAAAGCUCUACCUUGAUUUUUUUCUCGGACGAACCCUUCAUAUAGCAAAAGAGGGGGGCCAGUGGGCCACCAGUGUGCCCACAAGCCCUGUAGCCGCCGCCAGGGGGGUAGGUGGCGGCUACCAGGCUUGUGGGCCCCUGGUAGCUCCCCUGUGGCACUUCUUCCGCCCAAUAUUUUUUAUAUAUUCCCAAAAAAUUACAUGUUGAUUUUCAGGGCAUUUGGAGUUGCGCAGAAUAGAGGACUCAGACUUGCUCCUUUUCUAGUCCAGAAUUCUAGUUGCUGGUAUUCUCCCUCUUCAAAUAAACCUAGCAAAAUAAGAGAGAAAAGGCGUAAGAAUGGUACAACAAAGUAAUAUAACAGUCCAUAAAGCGAUAAAUAUCAACAUGAAAGCAUGAUGCAAAAGGGACGUAUCAACAUGCUCUAUAAAUCAUUGAGGAGUUUGAGUUAUACGAUGAAGAUCCACCCCUAAAAAUGUAUGUCUUCUGUUGAAGACUUUGGUCUUACCUUGAAGACUUUGAUCGCGAAGAAAUUGCGAUGAAAUUGAUAUUCCUCAUGAAGAUAUUCAAGAUGAGGAAUUAGGUGUGUCCUGAAGGAAAACAGUGUGAAGACUUUGAAGCGUGAAGAUUUUCUCUUUCUGUUUCAUUUUCUUUACUCUUGAGUCAUAGGAACACCGUACUGUUAAAGGGGGUCGAGGUAAUACUACGGAAUGAAUUUCCUCAUGAUGCUUAACCCAAGCCUAGACCUACCAAAGCCUCAAAGUGAGGAAUAUGAGAAACAUGAGGACUUUCAUAGUUGAAAGUUCCGACCGUUGCCGCAACACGGGCCACCUCACUUUUCUUAUCCACCCAACGGUCACAUUAUUUAAGGGCAUUUAUGUCAAAUCAUGUCGGGAUGCUCCCAGGCUAUAAAUAGCCUCCCCCCACAACCACUAGCUGGUUGGCUGCUCCGAGAGAAACUGACACUAGUCAUUUAGAGCAACCAAAAUUCCUCAGAGUCUUUGAGAGAAAAUCAUCAAGUGAGGAAAUACCCCAAACACCAAAUUCCAAACCAAAAACCAAGUGAUUGAGAAUCACUGAAGAAUUUGUUCCUAUGUGGAACUGAAGCCUUUUACCUUUGAGGAUUGUGCAUCCUCCGGACGGUUAGGCAUCAUGGUCUAGAGCAUCCAAUAGUCAAUUGUGGAUCGCCGGGUGACCGAGUUUGUGAGGGUUUGGAAGUCUGCCCUGAAGACUUACCACAAGUGUUUGGCGAGGACUGUGUGUCCUUAGAUCAAGGAGAAUAUGGUAAAGCAGUUGGAACUAGGUCAUCACAACUGUCUUCAUCGUGAUACGGGUUCUAUUUCUUCAACUCUUUCAUUUCCUCAAAUUGUAUGUUGAAGACUUUGAUAUGCACUGUUGAAGAAAUUGUUUGAAGACUUUCUCUGAAUUUCCUCAACCUCAAAUUCUUCACUUAAGAUAAUCUUCACCUGCUUACUCUGUACUUGCGAACUCUGCAAACCGAUUCUCAUAAUCUUCAACAAGAAUCUGCUAUUGAAGUUUUUGCACACCUGAUCAUGUACUACUUCCGCUGCACUUAAUUCGUCAUUGAGGACUUUCCUCACAAGGAAUUUCCUCAGCGAUGAAAUUCUAAAAAUCGCCUAUUCACCCCCCCUCUAGUCAAUAUAACGCACCUUCAAUUGGUAUCAGAGCAAGGUACUCCCUUGUUCUGUGUGAUUUUGGUGUAAUCACCUGGAGUUUUAGUUAUGUUGACCACAGGUAUGAUCAAGGCUACUGCAGGAUGUCCUACCUUUGAAGGUAAGGACUUUCCCUACAGGAAGACCAAGAUGCAGAUGCUUCUUCAGGCUAUUGACAAUGAUCUCUGGUAUAUUGUGGAACGUGGUAUUCCCUCCAUCACUGCUACUAUGUUUGCCGCUGUUGUGAAGAAAUUCAAGCAACUUGACUCACAAGCAAAGAAUAUCAUCUGUGGCCAUCUGAGCAAGGGUCAGUAUGGCAGAGUGAGUACUUUGGGCACAACUAAGCUUAUCUAGGAUAGUCUGUCCAAAGUCAAUGAAGGAAUCUCAACUCAGCGUGACUCUCGUGUUGAUGUUCUUUGCAAUCUCUUCAAUCGCUUCAAAAGGCUUGACAACGAAAGCUGCCAAGAUACCUUUGAUCGCCUCACUGACAUCUCAAGUGAACUCUAAGCACUGGCAGCUCGAGACAUUAGUGACCAUGAAGUUGUGAAGAAAUUGCUAAGAUCUCUUGAUCCAUCAUUUGAUACACUGGUUUUGAUGAUUCAAGAAAGAGGAGACUAUAAGAUGCUUGAUCCUCUUGAUAUACUUGAAAGACCCAAUACUCAUGAAUUCCAACAAGAAGAAAAGAGAGAUCUGUAUGGACCAAGAUACUCAAGACCUUGUGCGCUGAAGGCUAAAGCAAUAUCUUCAUCCGAAGAAGAAGACUCGGACGGCAGCAUUGGUGACCCUGAAGAACUUGGACAAGAGCUUGCAAUGCUCGUGAGGAAAUUCUAGAAGUUUACAAAGUGUGGCCAGUUUGGUAAAUCUUCAAGAAGAGAUAUGAGGAAAUCAGAAUCUUCAUCUGAGGACUACAAGAAAAGAACCUGUCACAAAUGUAAGAAAUAUGGUCACUACAUAGCUGACUAUCCUUGCUGGGUGAAAGAAUCAAAGAAGAAGAAAUACAAGGAUGAAAGUUUUGAUGACUCAAAGAAAAAGAAGANUUGUCAUCCUCAAAGUCCUCAUCGCACAAGAAGACCAGUUUCAGAAAGGCCUGGCACUCAUUGGCAAGGAAAUGGAUUAUGAGGAAGAAUCUGAGGAAUGUGAUGAAGAGGAAGGUUCUGAAGAAGAUUCAAAGUCUGGUGUGGCAAGUCUUGCACUGUCUACCACAUUCGUCAACAAGUUAAUCUUCAACCUUGAAGAAAAUGACAACGCUAUCUACACUAAUGACUAUGAUGACGACUUCGCUCCAACCUAUUGCUUCAUGGCAAAAGGUUCAAAGGUACCAAAUGAUACUUCCUCCUUUGACUCAAGUGAUGGUUAACGUGAUGAUUAUAAAAACCCAGUUACAGUAAACUUGCCAACAUUGCAACUAAACCACAAAGUGCCAUUGAAAAGCUUCAAAAACUGCUAGAAAAAAGCGAUGAUCUGUUGAAUGAUGAAAUGAAUCGUACUCAAGUCCUCACUGAAGAUGUGAAAAGUCUUCAAUCUAGAUUUGAUAGUCUUCAAGAUCAUUACGACACACUCUUGGCUGAUCAUGAGAAACUUUUCUAUGAAUUUCGUCAAAGGAAACUUGAUCAUGAGAAGUUGAAGAUGUCUCAUGAUGAUCUUUGAAUGGAAAAUGAUUCAUUGCUUUCUCAACAGAUCAGUGCCACUCAGGUUGAAUUCAUUCCACCAUGUUUGAAAUGCAUUGAACGUGAAACUCCUAAUUCUUCACCAGACUAAUCAAAUGCUUCUACCGCCACAAAUUCUUCAACUGUCCCUAUGGUAUCAAAUUCUUCACUUGAGGAAACCACAAAUGCUACUAACGAAAAUGCAGGGUUGAAGGAAUUGUAUGUGACAUGCAUAUACAAAAGCCUCAAAGGGCAUCAAACCCUUUGCGAUGUGCUCAAAAAGAAGAUUCUGAACAGGAACACGAGGAAAGAAGGCAUUGCCUUUGAGAGGAAAUUAACUGCCGAUGGAUCAUACUGGAAACCUCAGCAGUACCCCAAAACCUCAUGGGUUGCUGCUAAAGGACCUUUGUCGAUCCAUCCACCCUAACAUGCUUUGCAUGUGAAAUAUCCCAUUCCUGUGAUGAGUCAUGUGACUCAAAUUAUAAACUGUUCAAAAAUCGAUAUGGUGAAGUAUUUGCUCGAUAUGUUGGAGCUAACUACAGGAACGGACCACCCCUGAGGAAAAUCUGGGUCCCCAAAAGUUGCUUCGAAAAUCUUCAGGUGAAUGUCCUCAUGACACCACGUGCGAAGAACCUGAACCGCAGAUCAAAUUCCUCAGGUGGACCAAAGUCUUCAAGAGGAUCAAAAUCCUCAAAUGUUUAAUACUAUGCUCAUAAUCGUGCUAAUGCUUCUGAUAUGCAGGGAAAUUACAAGGGAUAUGAAUAUGAGCAUUAUUCCUCAAAUCAUUAUGUUCAUAAAUCCUCAAAGAACUUCUCUUCCUAUUCAUCUGAGUACUCCAAUCCCCCUAUUGUGAAUAGAAGUGCAUUAGCUUGAAUGCCUCCAUUCUCAUAUGGGGCUCGUAGGAUGAUGAACUCUUUUCCACCCCUUCAUAUGUGGGUGGUGAAUAAAUUGAACUCAUCACUUCUGCAGGUGAGGUCUCCAGAUGAAAGUCAUCAUCUCAAGAAUUUGCUGGAGACCUAAGGAAAUUGCUUGAUUGGAUACAAGCUAAAAUUGAUGAAAUGAUAACAUUUCACACAUCCUCAAAUUAGCUGUUUAUGAUGAAAUACUUAACUGAUGAAAUUGAUAUCAUAUUCUUCAAGUCUGAAGCAUAUGAGAUGGUAAGCUGUACUAAUUCAUCUGCAGGAUGACAAACCCAAGAAUACAGAGCGGGUUCUUGACAGUGGUUGCACAAACCACAUGACUGGUGAUAAAAGCUUGUUGAUGAAUAUGCCACUGACUCCAUCACCACUGAAGCAAAUCACUUAUGCUGAUAAAGGGAAAAGCAAGGUAUUAGGACUUAGCAAAGUGGCUAUUUCCAAGGACAGUCACAUGGACAAAGUUAUGCUUGUCGAAUCCCUUGGGUUUAACCUCAUGUCAGUCUCAAUGCUUUGUGAUCUUGAUAUGGUUGUUAUCUUUGGAAAAUACAGAUGCGUAGUCAUCAUGGAAUCUAAGAAAUCCAAAGUAUUUGAAGGCUUUAGGAGAGGAUAUUUGUACAUUGUUGAUUUUUCCAUAGGUCCUCAAGCAGCCACAUGCUUACUAGCAAAAACCUCAGAAGGUUGGUUAUGGCAUCGACGUCUGGGUCAUGCAGGAAUGAGGAAUUUGCACAUGCUGGCGAAGAAGAAGCAUGUCAUUGGCAUUGAAUCCUUCAAAUUCCUCAAGGACCAUCUCUGCGGUGCUUGUGAGUCUGAAAAAAUGACCAGAUCCAAACACCCCUCAAAUACUAUCAUGACUACUACUCGCCCGUUCGAAUUGCUUCACAUCGGUCUGUUUGGACCUACUCAUUAUGCCACUCUAACCAAUGCAUCAUCUUUAUAUGGCUUUGUUAUCGUUGAUGACUAUUCUCGAUACACUUGGGUACAUAUCAUUAUGUAUAAAACUGAAGUGCAGGAAGUCUUCAAACGAUUUUCCUCAAGGGCCUCGACGAACUUCGGUGUCAAGAUCAAACACAUCAGGAGUGACAAUGGGACAGAAUACAAAAACACUGGUCUUGAUGAUUAUCUUGAUGAACUUGGUAUUACUCACGAAUUGUCUGCUCCUUAUACUCCUCAAGAGAAUGACAUUGUUGCAUGCAAGAACAGGAGUCUGGUUGAAAUGGCAUGGACUAUGCUUGAAGAAUAUCAGACCCCUCAUUGCUUCUAGCAUGAAGCAAUCAACACUGCUUGCCACAUCAUCAACCGGGUAUAUCUUCACAAAUUCCUCAAGAAAACCUCAUAUGAACUCCUCACUGACAAGAAACCCAAUGUAAGUUAUUUCAAAGUCUUUGGUGCAAGAUAAUGGAUUAGAGAUCCUCACCAUAGCUCAAAGUUUUCACCUAAAGCACAUGAGGGUUUUAUGCUUGGUUACGGAGAGGACUCACACACCUACAGAGUCUUCAACACCUAUCACAACAAGGUUGUUGAAACUGUAGAUGUGCGGUUCGAUGAAACUAAUGGCUCGCAAAGAGAGCAACUGCGUCUUGUGCCAGAUAAAUUGUCUCCUCAGGAAGCCAUCAAGCUCAAAGCUACUGAAAUAUCAUUCGUACUGAGGAAAUUGCUGAAGAAGUCGUCCCCAACAGUGAUGAAAUUCAAGCAGGUGCACCUGAGGAAAUUGCUCCAGAUCAAAUUCCUCGGCCCAACCAAAGUCUUAAACCAGCCCAUUCAAGGAUUGCAAAUGAAGUGGAACUUGACAAAAUCCUCGAUGGCAUUAAUACACCAGGUCCUCUCACUCGCUCAAAAGCUUGACAUUUAGAUAACUUUUGUGGGUAUUCCUUGUUUGUGUCUAUCAUAGAACCCUCAAAAGUUGUUGAAGCCUUCAUGGAACCUGAGUGGAUUCAAGCCAUGCAAGAUGAACUUCUUCAGUUCAAGCUAAAUGACAUGUAGGAACUCGUCAAACGAACAGAUCCUCGCAAGCACAAUAUCAUCGGCACCAAGUGGAUUUUCCAAACAAGCAAGAUGAGGAUUGUAAAGUGGUGAGGAAUAAGGCACGACUUGUAUCCCAAUGCUACACACAGGUUGAAGAAAUUAAUUUCGAUGAAAAUUUUGCACCUGUUGCUAGACUUGAAGCUAUUCGGAUACUACUUGCUUAUUAUAAUCAUCAUAAUAUUACUCUAUAUCAAAUGGAUGUGAAAAGUUCAUUCCUCAAUGGUAAGCUUGAGGAAGAAGUAUAUGUUGCUCAGCCCCUAGGUUUUGAAGAUCCGAAGCAUCCUGACAGAGUCUUCAGACUCAAAAAGGCACUCUAUGGCCUCAAGCAAGCCCCUCGGGCCUGGUAUGACACAUGGAAGGAAUUUCUCAUGAAGAAAGGCUUCAAACCUGGUUCACUUGAUCCAACUCUUUUCACAAAAUCUUAUGACAAUGAACUAUUUGUAUGCCAAAUAUAUGUCGACGACAUUAUGUUUGGUUGUACUGACAAACGUUACACUGCUGAAUUUGCAUACAUGAUGAGUGAAGAAUAUCAGAUGUCUAUGAUGGGGGAGCUGAAAUUCUUCUUAGGUCUUCAAAUUCGUCAACAACGCAAUGGCAUCUUCAUAUCUCAAGAGAAAUACCUCAAGGGCGUUCUGAGGAAAUUCGACAUGCAUGAAUGCAAAGGCGUCAAGAUUCCUAUGCCUGCCAAGGGCCACCUCUGCAUUGACGAAAAUGGUAAAGAUUUCGAUCAGCGGGUAUAUCGCUCUAUGAUUGGCUCUUUAUUGUAUCUAUGUGAUCUAGGCCAGAUAUAAUGCUCAGUGUUUGCAUGUGUGCUCGUUCUCAAGCAAAACCGAAGGAAUCACACCAUAAGGUUGUGAAACAUAUUCUUCGAUACUUAGCUCACACACCAACACUAGGAUUAUGGUACCCCAAGGGCUCAAAUCUUCACCUUGUUGGAUAUUCUGAUUCUGAUUAUGCUGGUGACCGUGUGGAUCGCAAGUCAACAUCAGGCACAUGUAAUUUCCUCGGAAGAUCAUUAGUCUGCUAGUCCUCAAAGAAGCAGAACUGUGUUUCUCUCUCUACUACCAAAGCACUUCCGCUCAUUAGUCUGUCGAAGAUCAUUAGGCUGCCGAAGUUUUUGCACACCUGAUCAUGUACUACUUCCGCUGCACUUAAUUCAUCAUUGAGGACUUUCCUCACAAGGAAUUUCCUGAGCGAUGAAAUUCUAAAAAUUGCCUAUUCACCCCCCUCUAGUCGAUAUAACGCACUUUCAGUUAUGUGCUUAUUUUAAUGAUUCUAUGGUUUAUAUCGGGGGCAUAAGCCAUGGUAGAGUUAGAAUACAGUAGGUAUAAUGCAAAAACAAAAUUGGAAUAGGUUAUCAUAAAUACCGAUAAUAAAGUUUGGUUUUCUUAUACUAACUGAUCUAACGAAAAUUUUGUAGAGUUUUGUGUGAUUAAAGUUUUCAAGUUUUUAGUCACAUCAUGAUGGAUGAAGGAAUAAGGAGUGAUAAAAUCCUAAGCUUGGUGAUGCCCCAUGUCACCCCAAGGCAAUAUCUAAGGAUUACCAAGCAACUACGCCUGGGGAUGCCCCGAAAGGCAUCCCCUCUUUCUUCUACAAACCAUCGUUAAUAUUACUUGGAGUUAUAUUCUUAUUCGUCACAUAUCAUGAGUUUUGCUUGGAGCAUCUUGUAUCAUUUGUUCCUUUGCUUUAUUUGCUGGUUAGUUUAUCAUAAUAAACCUUGUUGUACACACCCAUUUGAGAGAGCUAAAUUAUGCUAUGAUUUGUUAGAAUCGCUCUUUAUGCUUCACUUAAAUUUUUUUGAGCCAUGGAAUUUCUCAAGUACUUCAUUUAUAUCUUUUUGAGCAUGAUGGUGCUGUUAUUUUAAAGAAAUUUUCUCUCGUGCUUCACUUAGAUAAUUUUUAGAGUUGCUGAAAUUUUGAAGAAAUCCCCUCUUGCUUUACUUAUAUAACUUUGAGGAUUGAAAAUUUUAAAGAAACUUGUGCUCUCGUUCUUCACUUAUAUUUGUUUGAGAGCUUCUUAUUUGCAAUGGAAGUUUUCUUUAAAUGAAAAUUACUCCCAAAGUGAUGAAUGUCCAGGAAAGAUAUAAUAAAAUCUUUCAUGAAGAUCAUUGGAUAUUAAGCUUGAUUCUUUGCAACAGUUUUGCGAUAUGAACAUAGUUAUGUGUGAGUUAUGUUGAUGAGUAAUUAUGCUCUAGUAAGAAUAUUGGUGUUAAGAUUUGUGAUUCCCUAUACAUACACAUGAAGUCAAUAAUUAUGCUAUGAAAUUACAUCCUACUUGUGUUGCAUCAUUCGGUGUUAGUUAUGUUUAAUGUUCACUUAUGAUGAUUUUUGUUCCUUGGUUGGGCGCUUCUCAAUCUAUUGGCUAGCCUUCACUUGUACUAAGCGGGAAUAGUGCUUGUGCAUACAAAUCCUAAACCCAAAGUUGUGCCAAAUGAAUCCACCAUACCUACCUAUAUGUGGUAUUUCAACGUUGUUCCAAGUAAUUUUGCAUGUGCCAACUCUAAUGUUCAAAAUAAAUUGCUGGUUUGUGUGCCUGUACCGCCCAUGAAGCGGUGGGGGGUGGCUGGUAUCUUCCAUGUUAAAUAGGUUAUUCUAAAGAUGAGUGUUUAUUCACUUGUCACUUCAUGACAGUAUGGCGGUAAUAGGGAUGCCAGUCCCAAAAAUAAAAAGAAAAUUAUGCUAUCAAAUAAUAAAUUCCUUGGGAAGUGUUGGUAUGGACAAUACCCGUGGAUACUGCUAGCCGUGGAAUGUGAAAGAAUGAUGGAUGAAGGAACAAACUUUAUUUUCAGUUUGGCAAUUGCCUAUAAUUUGUUUUGCAUGGAGGAUAUUAGAAACCCUUAGUUAUUCUCGUUGACACGAAAAACAUGCCACCCUAAAAAAAUUAUCUCUAAGUUUUUCACUUUGAGCUCCGGCACCUCUACAAAUCCCUACUUCCCUGUGUGAAGGGCCUAUCUAUUUACCUUAUGCAUUUUUAUUUUGAAUUUGAGUCUUCAUCUUCUCUUAUUAAGCACCAAGUAAGGAACACCAUUUUCAUAAUUGAGCAUUGGAUGUAGUUAAUAUUUGAGUGUGUUGCAUGAAUGGAUCAAUCAUAUAGCAUGAUGGGCUAGGGAUAACGUUCUUUAGCAUUGAUAUUUUGAAAGACUUGGUUGCUUGGUUGAUAUUCUUGAGUAUUGAAAUUUUCAUGUCAAAUUAUAGAUUAUUUCUUUGAAUCAUCUAUAAGUCCAUAUGUCCAUACUGAAAGAAAAAGAAUAUGAUGAACAUGUGAGGCAGCAUUCCACAUCAAAAAUUCUAUUUUUAUCAUUUACCUACUCGAGGACGAGCAGGAAUUAAACUUGGGGAUGUUGAUAUGUCUCCAACGUAUCUAUAUUUUUUAUUGUUCCAUGCUAUUAUAUUAUUAUUCUUAGAUGUUUUAUGAUUAUUUUAUAGCAAUUUUAUAUCAUUUUUUGGGACUAAGCUAUUGACAUAGUUCCUAGUGCCACUUGUUGUUUUUUGUUGUUUUUUCCUUCACAGAAAAUCCAUAUGAGAUGAGGUCCAAUUGACACGAAACUUUACGAAGAUUUUUUGGGACCAGAAGGAAACUUGGGAGCCAAGAAUGAGCAGCACACGAGACCCAAGGGACCCACUACACAUUAGGGCGCGCUAGAGGCCCCUGGCGUGGCCUCGUCUCUAGUGGGUCCUCGGGCACCUCCUCCACCACAUUUGAUCUCUAUAAAUACCCCAAUAUUUCGAAAACCAUAGAGGAGUCGACAAAAAAUCGUUUCAGCAGCCGCAAGUUCCAGAGCCACAAAAUCCAAUAUAGAGCCCGUUCCGGAGAGUAACGCGAUCAUGGAGGUGUUCACCAUCCUCAUUGGUGCUCCUCCGACGAUGUGUGAGUAGUUCAUAUCAGACCUACGGGCAGUAGCUAGAUGGCUUUCUCUCUCUUUUUUUCUCAAUACAAUGGUCUCUUGGAGAUCCAUAUGAUGUAAUCUUUCUUUUGCGGUGUAUUUGUUGGGAUCUAGUGAAUUUUUAGUUUAUGCUCAGACCUAUGAAAACAUAUUGAUGCUUGAUUAUUAUAGCCUCGUAUUUCUUCUCUGAUAUUUGGUUUUUUUAUGGCCCACUUGAUCUUUUAUCUUGCAAUGGGAAGAGGUGCUUUGUGAUGGGUUCGAUCUUGUGGUGCUCAAUUUCAGUGACAGAAAGAGACACGACACGCAUGUAUGUUGCUAUCAAGGAUAAAAUUAUGGGGUCUAUUCCUACAUGAAUAGAUCUUGUCUACAUCAUUUCAUCGUUCUUAAGGCAUUACUCCCUUUCUCCAUGAACUCGAUACACUAGAUGCAUGCUGGAUACGUUCGAUGUGUAGAGUAAUAGAAGUAGAUCCACGAAGAAGUCGGUCUACUUAUCUUUGACGUGAUGCCUAUAUACAUGAUCGUUGUCUUCAAUAUCGUCAUAAAUAUUUGCUCUUGUAUCAAUUGCCCAACAUUAAUUUGUUGACCCCUCGUUUGCUAUUUCUCGAGAGAAGCGACUAGUGAAACCUAUGACCUCCGGGUCUACUUCACAUCAACUAUUUGCAAUCUCCACUUUGCUAUUUGCGUUUCUACUUUAUUUACUCUUUUGUUUUAAGAUCUAUAUAAUCCAAAAACCCAAAAAUACCUUGCUGCGUUCUGUUUUCUAUCACUCUUAUUUGCAUCUAUCAAUAUAUCCUUACUUUAGCCGUGAGGGAUUGAUAACCUCUCCACGCGCUGGGUUGCGAGGAUUUGCUAUUUGUUUGCAGGUGAUGCUUACAUAGUCUUGUGGAUCUUCCUACUGGAUUGAUACCUUGGUUUCUUAACUGAGGUAAAUACUUGUCGUCGUUGUGCUACAUCACCUUUUAAGCUUGGAGGGAAACCAAGGCAUCAACGAGACUAAGUAAUGAUGCAUUGAAAUUGUUUCAUGACUAAGAACAUAUGUUGUUAAAUUUCAAGAAGAUGCAUUGUUUGAACCAUGACAUGUGGAUUAAUUACUAUUCUAUCAUAAUGAGUUUCAUGAGAAAAAGUUGUUGGUUAUGAUGUUAGAAAAGUCACUGGAGUUAUCAUUGAUCAAACUUAUACACUAUUCUAGCAUUCACACUUCAUAAAUUAUUUCUUUUAUCAUUUAUCUGCUCGAGGACGAGUAGGAAUUAAGCUUGGGGAUGCUGGUAUAUCUCCAACGUAUCGAUAAUUUAUGAAGUAUUCAUUCCAUAUUUGCCUAUGUUUACAAUAAUUAUAUAUGGUUUUGAUGGACCUUAUUUGAUUUAUUUAGAACUAAUCCGGAUUGUUGUUUUUUAGUAGAACUACUGUGGUGUUCUUUUUUGUGUAGAAAAUGAAAGUUCUCGAAAUCGCGUGGAACUUUUUAUUUUUAUAUUUUAUGGACAAAAUAAGAAGUAUGAGAGCAAAGAACCACUGGACGGGAGCCAUCUAUGGUCCAAUAGGCAACAGGGCAUGAUGACCCAGAAGUAUAGGGGAUCAAUCUUAGUCCUUUCAAUAAGUAAGAGUGUCGAACCCAACGAGGAGCGGAAGUAAAUGAUAAGCAGUUUUCAGCAAGGUAUUCUCUCCAAGUGCUAUUAGUAAUAGCGACAGAUUGUUUUGUUGCAAGAUAAUUCAUAACAAGUGACAACUAACAAUAGUAACAAAGGUGCAGAAAGGUAGCCCAAUCCUUAUUAUAGCAAAGGACAGGCCUCAAAGUUCUCUUAUAUAAAGCAAGUCCUCCCGAGGAUACAUGGGAAUUUUUGUCUAGUCAUGUUCAUCAUAUUGAGUUGAUUCGUAUUUUCUACUUUCAUAAUUUGAUAUGUGGGCGGACUAGUGAUAAGGUGCUAUUAUUACUUGAACUAACAACCUAUUAUGAAUACCCCCUCUCGCAAGCAUCUGAAACUACGAAAGAAUAAUUAAGAUAAAUCUAACCAUAACAUGAAACAUGUGGAUCCAAAUCAACCCCUUAUGAAGCAACACAUAAACUAGGGUCCAAGGUUUUGUCACUCUCAAAAGCCAUCAUCUAUUUUUUACUCCACAAUGGCUUCUCUUAGGCCCAUAACAUGGUGAAGUGUCAUGUAGUCGACGUUCACAUGACACCACUAAGAGAAGUAACAACAUACAUAUCAUCGAAAUAUCGAACGAAUACCAACUUUAUAUGAUUAGUUAUAACAAGACUUCUCCCAUGUCCUCACGAACAAUAGUUAUUACUCACACCUCAUCAACAUGUUCAAGAUCAAAAGUGUAAUAAUAAUAAUUAAGGAUCUGAACAUAAUAUCUUCCACCAAGUAAUCCAACAAGCAUCACAUACAAGAUGUAAUCAACACAACUAGUAACACACAUGUACCAAUCUGAGGUUUUGAGACAGAGAUCGAAUACAAGAUAUGAACUAGGGUUGGAGAUGAGAUGGUGUUGGUGAAAAUGUUGAUGAAGAUUGAUCCUCCCACAAAGGAGGAAGCAUUGGUAAUGACGAUGGCUUUGAUAUCCCCCUUCCAAAGGGAAGUUUCCCAGCAGAAUCUCUCUGCUGAAGAGCAAAAGGGCCUCUGCCCAGGUUUCCGCCUCGAGACGAUGAAGCUUUAUCCCAAAAGAUGACUUGUGAUUUUUCUAGGGUAAAACACACCAUGUUGGAGAAGAUGGUCGCCAGAGGGCCAGCAGGGGCUCAUAAGCCAUCACGGCAUGGCCUAGGGGCGCCCUGUUGGCUUGUGGCCAGCAGGUGGACCCUCUCUUGUAUAUUUUUGGCCCAUAUAUUCUUAAAUAUUCCAUCAAAAGUCUCCAUAAAGUAUCAGGUCGUUUGGAGCAAGUUGAUUUUUCUGCCUUUUUGUCGGUUUCCUCAUCGAGAAUUCCAGUUUACACAUAUUUCCCUCUCAGUGAUGUACUCCCUCUAGUCCUUUUUACUCCGCAUAUUAGAUUUGGAUCAAGUCAAACUUUACAAAGUUUGACCAAAUAUAUAUUGAAAAAUAUCAACAUCUACAAUACCAAAUAUACAUAUCAUGAAACUACCUUUCGCAAUGAAUCUAACAAUAUUAAUUUGACAUUGUGAAUGUUGAUAUAUGUUUCUACAAAUUUGGUCAAAGUAGAGAUACUUUGACUUCGGACAAAGCUAAUAUGCAGACUAAAAAGGACCGGAGGGAGUACCUUGCAUAUAUAGAAAGAAAGAACAUAAGAAUGGUGUUAUAAUAAGGGAUAAUGGACAAGAUUAAUACAAAUAUCAAUAAAUUUCAAGAUGCGAAGUGUAUGUAUCAACUCCCCCAAGCUUAGACCCUCCCUUGUCCUCAAGCGGAACCGAGCUCGAAAAUAAUGACCAGAUGAUUUAAGAGAGAGGUGUUGAUAAAACAGAAUACUAACAUGAGAGCAUCAUGAAUAUUAACAUAGCAGCAAGUAUUUUAUCAUAUAACUUCUCAUAAACAAGUAUCAAUCCAUUCAUAGUAUGAAGCAUAAACCUUAUUGACAAUCAACAAACUAUGUUCUCAAUCAUUGGGACAAUCAAAAUUCAUCAUAAUCCAGAGGAGAGUCUAUGUAAGAGCUUUCAUUUUGGCAAGUUCACAUACUCAACUAUCAUUUAAUCUUUUAUGAUUGCUCACGCUCACAACAUAUUUAUUAACUCAUGUUUCCACAGGACACAUAGGAGGAUAGGGUCUUAAAUGAUUUGCCACCCAACUUAUUUACCUCAAGGAUAAUGUCAAAAGUAAUAAAUCAUGAUCAUCUACAUCCACUUUGAUAUAUAAAUCUGAAUCUUUCCUCAACACAUGUUGCUUGCCACUAUAGAAUUAAUAGGUAGGGAGAGGAAUAAACUUCAUUGGCUCAAGCACGUGAUUGAAUCGUGAAGAUAGGCCCUCCGCAAAGGGAAGUAGAGGUUGUCAUGCGCUUUUAAUUUUUUGGAUGUUUAAACUCUUAAUGCAAAGGAAUGUCACUUUAUAUUGCCCCUUAUGCUAGCAAACUUUAUUAUGCACUCUGUCACUUUUAUUUCUUUGCCAUCACAAGAUCGUACAAAGCUUGUUUUUUCCUUUCAAUAAAAGAUCUUACAUAUUUUGGAGAAAUUUUUAUUGCUUGAUGCACCAAUGAAAACUUACUUGAAGUAUCUUACUAAAUCCAUAGAUAGGUAUGGUGGACUCUCAUGGCAAGAAACUAGAUUUCUGGGUUAUCGAUGCACAAGUAAUAUCUCUACAUCUGCGGAAUUUUUGGGCUAGCAAAGGAUCGAAAGCAAGCAUCACAUGUUGAAGGAUCCAAGACCAUAUAACUUAUAUGUGAAUAUAAAAUACCAUGAUCAUUACGUUGUCUUCCAUGUCCAACAUCAAUACCUGAUCAUUAUAUAAUAUUUGAUGAGGGAUCACAAUCAUAAAAUAUACCCAUGAUAGUGUAUUUAUAUGUUAGUCUCCUCUCCUCUAUCAUAAUGUUGCUUAGAUUGCAAGAGUAACUAAUACUAUGUUUGUUUACUAUCAACAACAUUUAUCACGUAUACCCUUUUUGUGUGAAGUCAUUACUUCUCAUGAUAUGAGCAUAUGAUCUUUAUAUUUCUUUUAUUGACAUGAUAUGACGAUGGGUGCACGCAAGCAAAGCACAAAAAUUCAACUAAUCUUUAUUAUAUAACUCGCAUACUCGAUUACAAGGAUAGAUAGAACUCAAAGCAAAAAAUUCUAAGGAAAUCAAAUCUGAAAUUUAUUUCUCUAAAUCACGAAACAACUAAGGAUCGAACUAAGAUAGACAGUAAUGAUGGAAGUGAUGGUCAUACGAUACCGGGGCACCUCCCCCAAGCUUGGGACAAGCCAAGGAUGGUCCCCAUACCCAUGUACUCAGGCGUCCUCAUCACGUGAUGGCAGUGGUGUAGUAGGGGUGUCCUCCAUCCUCCAGGGUGUAGACUCCCCAUCAUGGAAAUAAAGUUUUGUCCCGGGAGUCCUAACAUCAGCAACGAAGCUCAUCCUCUAAAACCUAGAUACAUACUCACAGUUUUGGGCUUGAAGUUCAUAGAUUUGAUCUUGGAGGUGAUCGAUCCGAUCUUGGAGCUCACAAAGAAUCUCUCCCACGUUCUUUGUGUCCAACUUGUUUUCCCGGAUGAAAUCUGUGAUCAUAGAGUGGUUGGAACUUAGACCACGCUCAACCUUCCCUUGGCACUUGAAGAUCUGUCGCUCCACUGCUGCAAGCCUGGCCUUCUCGCUUCCCUCCUCUUUGGGACCUUGAACAUCCCGGAUAUGGAGCACCUCCACAUGGAUCUCCGUGACGCCCCCAAUUUGAUCAUAUGCUAAUCAUGCACGCAAAUGCGUACGACCAAGAUCAAGGACUCAUGGGAAGAUAUCACAACACAACUCUAGACACAAAUAGAAGUCAUAGAAGCUUCAGAUUACAAGCCACGGGCCUCGAGGGCUCGAAUAGAUAAGCUCCGGAAACACACGAGUCAGCAGAAGCAAAUAAUAUCGGAGUACAGACAUAAAACUAGGAAAUUCCUUAGAGAAGGCUAUAAAAAAGAUACCAUAUCGAAUGAGGCGAGGCCUCUUGCGUGGGAACCUCGUAAACUACUACUGGUCGUCAACGGACUCCACGUAGUAGUAGGCACCGUCGGGGUUGUGUACGUCGUCGGCGGAUACACCAUCUCCUGGGCUCCAUCAUCUGGUCGCGACAAUCAUAUCAAGGGUAAAAGGGGGAGCAAAGCAAUGGUGAGUACUCAUCCAAAGUACUCGCAAGUCUGACAUCACACCUAUGCUAAAUAUGCAUCAGUAUUAAAGGAAAGGGGUUAUAUCUGGAUUGACUGUAGAAAUGAGAGAAGAAAGAGAAGGGACUAGUCCUAUCAAAGACUAGCAUCUUCAGCGUCUUGCAACAUUGGAAGAGAGUAGAGCAAUAACAGAAUUGUAUAGUCAUAUUGUAGCAGCAAAUUUAAUUAAGUAGCUCCUAUAGAUUCUUCCUCGACUCCUUGCAAGAAAGCAAUCUCGGAGCAAACAUUCCAUUUAAGUAACAGUUCUAGUUGUAUUAGAUUGGGAUACAAUUCCAAGUCGUCCUGUAACCGUGGACAUGACUAUUCGAAUAGUUAAUUUUCAUCCGCGCAGGGGUGCACCAAAUUACCCAACAUGCUUGAUAAACUCUAGCCGAACACACUUUCCUCGGUCAUGCUCGGCCUCGGAAAAUCAACACGUCGCAACCCUACCUAGGCUCAACAGAGAGGUCAUGGGCCCAUCACCCUUUGCACUCCUGGCACCUCUUAUACAAGAACGAUACUUACGCAGACCACUCGAGCGCGCGCCGCUCCAUUGCUGACGUCUGAAUUACUUCGGCUGAUAUUACGACAUCGAGCACCCAUAACUUAUCCCACAUAAAGCUUAGUGCGAAAAGGUCUACGACCAACUCAGAUCAAAUACUCAAAUCCCGUUCGCGUGUUAAUUAACACUGCAGCGACGAUCAGCAAUCCAUGAUAUGUGGUCUUGUCGCCCCGACUCGAGGAUGUGUGGCAUGGGCCAAGAAUGCCCGACCAUGCCUCAUCACAUCCACACGGGAAUCCACCCGCAACACACCUCAUCAUGUUCCCGGUCAAGUAAUUGUGAGUCUGUAACAUCAAAAGGAUCCGAGAUAUCACCCUCGAUGGAUUCUGAAUGAUGUAACUGUCAAGGCGAUCAGGGAGGAAUCACCCUCGAUGGUCCACUCUUGAGGGGUUGUACGACAGAGUCGUUAUUGGAAGUGGUGCAAGAGGAAUCACACUCCAUGAACGACCAACGGUUAACGACACUACAGAGCUAACAUUAGGAGUACGUAACGAGGUGUCACCCUCGGUACCCGAUAGUAGCUCUACAGCGUCGUACAACAACGGGGUCUAUGAGUGAUGUGAUGGGUCUUGGAUCGUCGAUUAGUAGAUCGAGACUUCGAUGAUAAAGCAUGGGCAGCUAGGUCUAAGGGGUCAAUGGGGAUCACUGCUCCACCUAUAGUAAGCAACUAAAGUACGCUAGAGUAUAACAACAACAAAAUAGGGGCUAUCAACAACAGUAGCAAAAUCUAAUGCAAGAAUCAGGGAGAAAGAAUGGACGAUAUAGGAAUGAUCAAAGGGGGGGUUGCUUUACUUGUUGCUCUGCAGCAAAGGGUUGUCGUCAGGAGGGUAGUCGUACCCGUAACAACGUCAGUCUCGGGGUCUACCGGAGAGAAGAGUGGGUAGAACAAUAAAUAUAAAGCAACAGAUGCAUCCCGAUGCAUGACAUGGCAAUAUGCAGUGCUAGGGAUAAUCUAAUGCAGUACUACAUGUUACUGACGGAGCAGGAUAAUAUCUAACGAUAUUUCCGGGUCUUUUCCUAUUUCUAGAGAGAUAAUUCAAAGGGGAAAGUUCCAUGUUCAUCAUGCUAGGCGCAUGUGACAUAAGAACGGACAGCGUAUUCGAAUUUGUUGGAUUUUUCUGAGCAACUUUCAUAUNNNNNNNNNNNNNNNNNNNNNNNNNNNNNNNNNNNNNNNNNNNNNNNNNNNNNNNNNNNNNNNNNNNNNNNNNNNNNNNNNNNNNNNNNNNNNNNNNNNNGAGAGGGAGGGCACGGAAGCCCACUAAAAUAGGGGGGACCUCGACGUUGGUGCCCUCACGGCGGCAACACAUUCUCCUCUGUUGGACUGGCGGAAAGGGGCAGAGAGGCGGGAGACGGCAUCAGGGAGGAAGAAAGGAUGCCGUGUGGGCUCCUGUGCGCACGGGGAGAGGAAAAGAUGGGCCGGCCUGUGGGAGUGAGCCCACAGGUGGUGCCACUUAAGAGGAAACACUCCCUGGACUUCUCUAAUUACAGAAAUAACAGGGAGUAAAAGAAAAGUACAAGAAAAACUACAAGUGCAAAAAUCGAAAUGGCACUUGCAUUGGACAUGUAAAAACAAGACCUAAUUAAUAAAAAUGAGAACAAGAAUUUAGGAGCAAGUAAUUAUUUUACAAAUCAGCCAUGGUAGGGACUGUUUUGUANGAAGAGGUGAAACUUGACAUAGAGAAGAAUUAGAGAGAGAGGGAGGACGGUUUGAAACCUAAGCAAACACUAUCACAUGCAUCACCCCACACAAGCUAUACAUCACAUGCACAUCAACACAAGGCAUCAUAUGAAAUCACAAGAACACAAAGCAACAACAAGAACACAUGGCAUGAUAUGGAAUGCAUGCAUGCAAAGGAAGAGAAAUUAAUAAGGUGACAUCACAUGAAAUCAUAAAUGCAUAUGACUAUCUCAUAUCAAUGACAAGGUGGUUCGACAUGGAAGGUUACAAAAAGGGAAGGCUUUGCACUUGGGGCAUUACAUCAAGCUCCCAAUCUUCAGAGUUACGUUUGAUUCUUUCCAAUAAAUUCCACUUAUGGUCAAUAUCCUUCUUCAUAAAAGAACCGGUACAAGAAGUGUCAAGCAUGGUACAAUUUUCAUGAGAAAGCCGAGCAUAAAAGUUUUGAGUGAUAAUUUCUCUCGAGAGCUCAUGAUUGGGGCAUGAAUAUAGCAUUGAUUUAAGCCUCCCCCACGCUUGAGCUAUGCUUUCCCUGUCACGAGGCCAAAGGUUAUAAAUAUAAUUCCGAUCACGAUGUACUAAAUGCAUAGGAUAGAACUUUUGAUGAAAUUCCAAUUUCAACCGAUUGUAGUCCCAUGAUCCAGUAUCAUCACAUAGCCUAUACCAUGUUAACACCCUAUCCUUCAAAGAUAAAGGAAAUACUUUAUUCCUUACCUCAUCCUCGGGCAAACUUGCAAGCUUAAAUAAACCACAAACUUCAUCUACAUAGAUUAGAUGCAAGUCUGGAUGUGAUGAUCCAUCUCCUGUGAAAGGAUUAACCAGCAGUUUCCGAAGCAUACCCGAAGGAAUUUCAUAAAAGAUAUUUUCAGUAGGUACCUCACGUUGAGGAGCAACUCCUCGUGCUUCUGUUCGUGGUGAAGAUACCCCGAACAAAUUCCUCAAAGGAACAGUUUCCAUAGUGACAAGUGACAAUAAAUUUCAGCACAGUAUAUAAAUGUUUCCUUACCAAAUUCCACUUACCAAAGGCACCUGCUCCCCGGCAACGGCUGCAUAAAAUAGUCUUGAUGACCCAAAAGUAUAGGGGAUCAAUCAUAGUCCUUUCUAUAAGUAAGAGUGUUGAACCAAACGAGGAGAAGAAGGCUCUGAUAAACGGUUUUCAGCAAGGUAAUAACUGAAAGCACUGAAAGUAGCGGUAACAAGUGAUGGUGUAGUGAGGUGAAACGUAGCAAGCGAAAAGUAACAAGUAACAAGUAGUAGCAACGGUGCAGCAAAGUGGCCCAAUCCCUUUUGUAUCAAGGGACAAGCCUGAACAAAGUCUUAUAGGAGGAAAAACGCUCCCGAGGACACACGGGAAUUUCUGUCGUGCUAAUUUCAUCAUGUUCAUGUCAUUCGCGUUCGUUGCUUUGAUAGUUUGUUAUGUGGGUGGACUGGCGCUUGGGUACUGCCCUUACUUGGACAAGCAUCCCACUUAUGAUUAACCCCUCUCGCAAGCAUCCGCAACUACGAAAUAAGAAUUAAGACAACGUCUAACCAUAGCAUUAAACUAGUGAAUCCAAAUCAGCCCCUUACGAAGCAACGCAUAUACUGGGGUUUAAGCUUCUGUCACUCUAGCAACCCAUCAUCUGCUUACUACUCCCCAAUGCCUUCCUCUAGGCCCAAAUAUGGUGAAGUGUUAUGUAGUCUACGUUCACAUAACACCACUAGAGGAAAAGACAACAUACAUCAUAUCAAAAUACCGAACGAAUACCAAAUUCACAUGACUAUUAUUAGCAAGACUUAUCCCAUGUACUCAGGAACAAAAGUAACUACUCACAAAGCAUAAUCAUAAUCAUGAUCAGAGGUGUAAUGAGUAGCAUCAAGGAUCUGAACAUAAACUCUUCCACCAAGUNNNNNNNNNNNNNNNNNNNNNNNNNNNNNNNNNNNNNNNNNNNNNNNNNNNNNNNNNNNNNNNNNNNNNNNNNNNNNNNNNNNNNNNNNNNNNNNNNNNNGCCGCUCCAUUCCCCAUCUCCUUCCUUCUUUCUUUCCCCCUCCUCGUAAGCUCUGUAGCUAGGACAGAGAAGGACUUCGUCGCCGAUCGCCGCCCCCAUCGUCGUCCAGUGCCGCGGCCAUGUCCAGGGGCACGGGGAAGGUGCCCGCUCCCCAUUUUCGUCCUUGGUGAGGUCAAGGAGCGUCCUCACCGACGACCAGGAGCUUGCUGAUGCCGCGGACCCGGUGCUCCUUCGCUUCUGCUUCGGUUCUGCGUCAGGAACUUCUUCGGCUUCAAUCUUCUUCCCCUCNCCGAUCGGCGCCCUUCCUCCUUCCCCUAGGUGAGCAGGAGCUCCUCCCUCCUUCCUCCCUCCUUCUCGUCGCCUAGAUCAAACAGGGCUUGCCGGAGUUGCCCCUGUUAGGAAGUAGACCGAGGUGUUUUGCGUGUUGUUGUGUCUGUUGUGUUGUGCUCGGGCAGACCAGUGCAAGCAUGGACUCCCUUCCCCACGUAUCAGUCGAGCAGUAGCAGUAGAGCACUCCCCCUCGUUGGAUCUGUAGCAGAGUAGUGCACCCGCAUCCUCCCUGUCGCCGGCAAGCUCUAUAGGUAGAGCAGGGCCCCCCCUGCUAGUUUACCAUGAUUGUGUAUCGCCCUCUGUCAGGCUCCUAUUCCAUAGCUCAGUCGUAUGUCUUCGCGUUUGUAUUCGUGAGGUGGUGGGUUUGAUCCCACGGGAAGCCUCCACCCUUUUUGUUGGUUUAAUUCCGUAUAGUAGUUUGCGCAUCAGAGCAUGUUUUCCUUGCUGUGAUAGACUAUUCUGUCAAGUGCUUGGCUCUAGCAGAGUGGUAGUUGAUGUUGUGGUUUAACACAGGGGUGCAGGUUCGAAUCCUCUCCCCCCCCCCCAUUUUAUUUUUUUUGUUGUGUGUUCCUGGGCAUGUGUAUGUGCUGUGUGCACUAGGUAGAGUGGAGGUAUUAUUUUGUUGCUAUCAUCAGCUUGUGGUUUCUGUUUCUUUUGCUCCAAGUCACAUAACUUGAGGUUGUGCUUGUGGAUUCAUGUGCAUGUGUAGGGGAGUGUUGCACGUAAGUGUGUGUUUUACUUGUGAGUUUUACUUGUGUGCCUUGGUAGGCUAGAGCAUGUGGGUGCUAGUCAUCCUCAUGGUGGUUGCCUUGUGCAAGUUUGUGUGUGUGUGAAGGGUUCCCUCCCUCUCCACAUAUCAUGUGGUGUGUGUGUAUGUGGGUAUGUGUGUGACCAUGUGUGUGUCUCACCCAUGUCAUGACAAGAUAUGACUGGGGGAGCACAUGGGCAAGAUAUCAUUUUUGUGUAGAAUUAUUUAUGUGAUCUAUGUGAGUAGUGCCAUCCAUCUAGUUAUGUAGGUGUUUAUCUAUCAUGUGCUUGUUGCUAGUGAUGGUGUGGUGAUGUUCCAAUGCACAUAGUCAUGAGGACUACCUCUCAUGUACCCCAUAGAUAAUGUGAUCAUGUGUUUAUGCUUAUGUAGGAUUGAUAUAGUGAAUAGCACAUGUGAUGAUGCACUAUUCACUAUAUAUAUGAUUCCAUGUGGAUUUCCUUUGCUAGUUUGAGCUCAUUUCUUCCAUGCAAGUGCAUAGGUAUUAUAUAUGAUUUUGGGGUUUAAUCUCCCAAGGAAUCCAUCGGUGAACUUAGUUUUGCCAUUGGAACACUUUCUGGAGAUGACAUAUUCAGAUUUGUUCUAAGUUUAGUCCUUGUUUCCAUGGAGUGUGAUGAGCCCAAGGGCGUGUUAUUUUGUUGUGGCAAUAGAGGGUGAUCCCCUCUAUAGCUUGUUGGUGUCAUUUCUCACUUAGGGUAUCUUGUGUGCAAGUUGUGCCUAGACAAAGUGGGCAUGUGGCUGAAAUUCCAGAUUAGUGAAAAUCUGAGAUUUUCACUAAGUCUGAGAAUCUGUUUAUAUUUUCUUCUCCUGUUGAUGAGGUUCUGCAGGUCAAUGUGUUCCGAUCUAGCCUUAGCUUUCAACUGGAAAGUUGGAGCUGAUAUGUUUGUCUAGCUCCCUGCAAAAUUUCAUUCCAUUUGGAGUCCUGUAGAUGUUGUUUUGGUUGCUGUCAAAAUGCUUCAGACCAUAGACAAAAAGUGAGAAUCUGGAAUUUUCACUAAGUCCCUGAAAUCUGAUAUUUUUGGGCAAGUUUGCAGCCUUGUAACUUUCCGGGUUUAAUUCCUUUGUGUGUGAUUCUUGCUUGUGCUGAUAUUACUCUUGGAUAGCUACAGCCACAUAUAUUAUUUGUCAUAUUUGGGUGGCUGAAGGUGCUUUGCAUGUAGCUCACAAAGUCCUAUGAUGUAGUUUAUGGCAGAUUGUGUAGUUUUGUCAUUUUGACGUUUGUGUGUGCUUAGUUGAUGAUGUGGUGUUCUUCUUUGCUCCACCCCAUCCAUGUUGGGUUGUUUUAUGUCUUGGUAAGAUAGAGAUACCAGAGUUGUGCCAUUUGGGUGUGUGGUGAUGAAUUUGACACAUACGGCUUCAUAUCUUGUUUCGUUGAUUCCCGUUGAUCCGUAGCUCCGUUUGUAAUGUACUUUAUAUGAUUUUGCAUCGUUUUCUCGAGACACAUAUGAUCAUGUCAUUCUCAUGCAUGUCAAUAUAGGUUAUGAUGCAGUUCUGUCCAGGAACAUGUAAUUGCUUCUCAUGCUUGUGCUAGCGAUAGAAAUAGUGAUGCAUGCUCAUAUUCAUCUCAUGCAUCAUGUGCUUGUUGCAUCUUGAGGUGCUGUUGUUCAUUGGAUGUUAUUCUUAUGUUCGGUAGCAUCGGGAUCGGAGAACGAGUACGUGGAUUCGGGAGAGUACGUGCAGGACGAACAAGAACCAUUCCAAGUUGAGGAUAUCACGGGCAAGAUGACAUGACCUUGAUUCCAUAUCUAGACUUGUUAUGCUAGAUUAUGUUACUUCCAUCUUAUGCUCGCUGCCUACCACUGAAUUAAAUCUCCUCCUGAUAUGCGAUGAAACCAAACACUUGUUCCUUCCUAACAAACUUGAAUGGCUAAGUAGGCUUUGCUCAGCUACUAAUGUUAGCGUUGCUAGAUGCAGGUGCUUUGCCUCAUGUGAUAACAUGAGCUUGAUAUCAUUAUUUUAAUUAUGUUAUUUAAUUAAUGCACCUAUAUACUUGGUAAAUAACGAAAGGCCUAGCCUUUUGUCGGGUGCUUUGUUCCGUUAUUGCCGACAUAGUUAUCGGCUACCGGUGUUUGAUUCCGUAUUCAUCGCUCCUAACACGUUCGGGGUUGUUAUGGGUACCCCCGAGACAGGUGAUCCCGACGGCACGCAGCUGGCGUGUCAGUACGAUGAGGAUAACGACCGCCUGUACGUGAACUAUCCAGAAGAUUGAGCCGUGGUCGUGAUCGUGGGCCAGCAGGCAGGGCAGCAUAGCCUUUUCCCUUGUUUUGUAGUCCGUAGCGGAACUACUUUGAUUGUAUGCGUGAUCUACUCUGAUAUAUUUAUGAGAUGGCAAUUGAACCCCUUAUUUUCAUUCUGUUGAUAUUAUGUAUGUGCUAUGAUACCUUGUUUGCGAGAUGCUUAGAUGCACUUCUUUCCAAUUCGGGGCCUCGAUCCCCAGAUCGGAAAGGACCGCAUCUUAGUCGUUACAAGAUGGUAAUCAGAGCCUUACGACCGUAGGAGCCUUUGUGUGAUCGUACUUGGCCGAGUCGAGUCUAGUAAAAUGUUUUGAGUCUUAGUUAUAUCAGAGAGUAGGAUUCUUUUUUCUCCUCUUCCAUGCUCUGGUGAGGUUCCCAUCUUAGGAAAUCUUAAAUUCUACUCCUCUUCUCGCUCAAAAAAUUUUUAGGAUCACGCGGGUAUUCGUGAAAUCUAUAUGAUUUCGAUGUGAUGGAGUUCUGUCUUGGUGCCUCCUGUCUGCCUUGAUUUCUUCCGGGGAGUUGAGCUCUAGGGGAUUCUUGCGCACAUCGCCAUCAUUCAGAUUUCUGAGUAUCUAAGAACAAAGGAUGUUCGUUAUUGCUUCAAUACUGGUAGUGGCCAGAUAACCCCGAUGUCCCCAGUACUGGUGCAGAUUGUUCGGGAGUACUGCCAUACUUGGUAUCGUUGUAAUCACGAGGGUUUGUUGUAGAUGAAGGUCCGAGAUGCUGGUUGUGUGUUGACGGAUGUGAUACAGGUGACGGGUUAGUAUAGGAGUUGUGUGAUAUUACUCCUUGUAUCCGUGUACCAGAUAGUAUGACCAGUUAUGUCGGGAAUUCAUAGGUGGGAUAUCAAGUAGUAUCUUAUAGGACUAUCUUCCUACAGAUGCAUGAUUCAGGUUGGGAUUCGAUGUUCAGUGGGUGCAUUUGUUGACGGUCGUCUUACAGCGGUUCUCGUUGUGUCUUAAAGAGUCCUUGUAGCUCGCUACGACUCGGGGAUACUUCGUAUGUCAUGUGCACCGCCUUGCACAAGAUGGCUGCUGUAAAUUCGAACCCGUGCGAUCUUAUCCACGAAGAUAUCGGAUGAAAUCUUGAUCAUAUGUUUGUUCCGAGCAGUUCUAGCUCACACUUUUUUGCAGUGGUCUUAAUCGGAAUUUUGUCGACCGUCACUUUGAGGAAGCAUUUGUACUAUUUUGUUCGAAUGCAAUUGCUUACUCAUGUUCAUAUAUUCCUGUCAUUUUGAUUCAGCUAUAUCUUCAAUUUAUUCUAUGGUCUAAUGUGUUGUCCGUCUUCAGGAUGGCUCCACCAACUCGUCAGAACCCAGGGCGUGAGGAUAUGCCGCCACCACCUCCUCCUCCGGAGAGUCCUCCGUCGCCGCCGCCUCCUCCUGCAGAGGCCUGGCAAGCGGAGAUGGCUGCUACUAAUGCAAACACCCAGAUGCUGCUACAGUUGUUGCAAGAGAGAGCUAAUCAGCAGCAAGGCAAUUUCCAACAUGGUGGCAAUCGACUUGCUAGUCUGAGUCAGUUCCUGUCGAACUAGCCAAAGACUUUCACUUCCUGUGACCAGCCAUUUGAUGCAGAGGAUUGGAUCCGUGAUAUGAACAAGAAUUUCGAGUGUAGCAAUGUGCGUCCUGAGGAUUUCGCCAAAUUUGCAACAUUCCACUUGAAGGGGCAGGCUUCUAUCUGGUGGCAACAGCUAAAGGACUCCAGAGGCCCUAGGGUGAUCACUUGGGAUGAGUUCUGUCGUGACUUCAGGUCCCACUACAUUCCUUUCACCUUUGUGGAGGAGAUGCGUGAGAAGUUCACGCGUUUGAAGCAGGGUCGCAAUUCCGUGUACAAGUACAACGUUGAGUUCCACGAGCUAGCCUGAUACGCGUUGCAGGAUAUCCCUGAUCAGAAGAGCAAGAUUUAUCAGUUCAGAGGUGGCUUGAAAGAAGAUUUGCAAUUAACUCUUGCUUUGCAUGAUCCUGAGGAGUUCGACAAGUUCUACAACCUAGCUCUCAGGGCAGAGACAGCCUUGCUUAGGGUGGAGAAUUCUAAGAAGCGCUUCAGAGAUUCCAGCUCUUCCUCNNNNNNNNNNNNNNNNNNNNNNNNNNNNNNNNNNNNNNNNNNNNNNNNNNNNNNNNNNNNNNNNNNNNNNNNNNNNNNNNNNNNNNNNNNNNNNNNNNNNCUUUAGUGGCUUCUCUCUCAAAGAAGGCAUAUAGUGGGUAAACAAAUUACUGUUGGGAAAUUGAUAGAAAAGUGCAUAUUUAUGCAAUAUUUAUUCACGAAAAUGAUCAUGUGUAUAUAAGAAUCACAUCCGUAAGAACGUAGACGAACUCCUGCCUGCAUCUAUUAUUAUUACUCCGUCGAUCGACCCCUAUCCAACAUGCAUCUAGAGUAUUAAGUAAAAUAGAGUAAUGCUUGGAGAACAAUGACAUGAUGUAGACAAAGAAAAUACAAUUAAUACGAAUCAACCACAUCAUUUUAUACUUAGUGAUAGCAAUGCAAAUACGUGUCUUUUCCCCUACUUUGUCACUGGGAUGUAGAUCACCAAAAGAUUGAACCCACUAUAGCGCACCUCUCUCACUUAAGAUAGAUCAAUCUAGUUGGCCAAAGAAAAUCAAUAGAUCACAAAGAAUUACGAAGCUAUAAUAAUCACGCAAAUAAGAAUCAAAUAGUUUUAUCAUGAAUAAUCUAAACAUAAACCCACAUUUCAUCGGUUCCCAACAAACGUACCGCACAAAGUGAUUACAUCGAAUAGAUCAUUGCGAAGAUGCGAUGAACUUUGUAUUGAAGAAAAUAGAGAGAUAGAGAGCCAUCUAGGUACUAGCUAUGGAACCAUAGGUAUGUGGUGAAAUACUCACAAAUCACCAUGGGAGAAGCAAGGUUGAUGUAGAGGUCCUUCGUGAUCGACCCCCCCUCCGCCAAGGCACCGAAAAAGGGCUCCAGAUGGGCACACGAUGGAACGGAGAUUUGCAACGACGGAAAAAAUGUUUUGGGAGAUCCCCUAGGAUUUUUGGAAUAUAUGAGUAUUUAUAAGCCAGAGAACAAGGUCAGGAGAUACGAGAGGGGCCACAAGCCAAGAGGGCACGUCCACCCCCUCGGCGCGCCAUAUUGGCUUGUGGGACCCUCAUGCGGCCUCCGGUCUUCUCCCAAACCUUCUAGGUCUUCUUUUGAUCCAGAAAAAUCAUCAAAAAGUUUCAUGGUAUUUGGACUCCAUUUGGUACUGUAGACCUAAAAAGCCAAAAACAUGUAGAGAAUAGCAACUGCCAUUUGGCAUUAGGUUAAUAGGUUAGUGGUCAAAAAUAAUAUGAAUGAGCAAAUAAAUGCCCAAAAAGUAUCAUAGAAUGAUAACAUUACAGCAUGGAACAAUAAAAAAUUAUAGAUACGUUGGAUACAUAUCAAUGUGUGAGUAGUUCACCACACACUUACACGUGUGUAGUUAGUACCUAGAUGGUUAUCUCUCUCUAUGUUCUUCAUUGGUAAGAUCACUGUGAUUCCCAAAGUGAUCUAUCUUAUGUAGUCACUUUUGCGGUGUGUUUGUUGGGAUUCGAUGAAUUGUGGGUUUAUGUUCAGAUUAUUCAUGAAUAAAUAUUUGAGUCUUAUCUAAACUAUUAUAUGCAUGAUUGUUAUAGAUUCAUAAUUCUCUUCGAUCUUUCGAUAUGGUUUGGCAACUAGAUUGUUUUAUCUUGAGUGGGAGAGGUGUGUUGUAGUGGGUUCAAUCUUGUGGUGCUCAAUCCCAGUGAUAGAAAGGGACAUGGCACAGGUUGUAUUGAUGCCAUUAAGGAAACAUUGGGGUUCAUUCAUAUUAAUUGGAUUUACUUCAUCUACGUAAUGUCAUCAUCCUCCAAGCAUUACUCUGUUUUUACUUUAUACUCUAGAUGCAUGUUGGAUAGCGGUCGAUGGGUGGAGUAAUAGUAGUAGAUGUAGGAAGGAGUAAGUCUACUUUCUUGUGGACGUGAUGCCUAUAUACAUGAUCAUUGUCGUAAAUAAAUAUUGCAAAACUAUGCACUUUCCUAUUAAUUGUUGAACAGUAAUUUGUCUACCCACCGUAUGCUUUCUUCGAGAGAGAAGCCUCUAGCGAAAACUAUGGCCGAGGGUCUCUUCACAAAUAUAUUACUAAAAUAAAAAAAUACACCUCAUCCUUUUAAUAUNNNNNNNNNNNNNNNNNNNNNAUUUAUUUUUAUUAUUUAUCUAUCAAUAGUUAUCACUUGUAAGUAACGAGUUCAAAGGGAUUGCCAACUCCCUUGCCCGUGUUGGGUGCUAGUGUGUGCUCUUUUGUGUGUAGGUGCUAAAGACGGGAAAUUGCGUGGUCCUCCUAUUAUUUCAAUAACCUUGGUUCUCACUAUGGGAAAUACUUACCUUUACUAUGCUGCAUCACCCCAUCCUUUUGGGGACAAUCCGAACGUAAUUCACAAGUAUCACAAAGGAUUUAUGUCACCGUUGCGGGGGAGUAUCACCAAAUUCUUAUAAGGUACCUACACACAAAUUAGAAUUCACUUGUUCUAGUCUCUACUUGCCUAGAAAUGCUAUCUUUAUUUUUGUCACACUAAAACAGACAGUAAAACAAAAAAAUAAAAUAAAUGGAUGCUCAUCCACUUGCUAAUCUUUUCAAAAGACCCGACUAUGUUGAACCAACUGCUAGUGAGUUGAGUGCACUAGAUUAUCUUUUUGAGUUCUUGCUGGAAUAUCGUGAAUCUCAAAAUUGUGAUGAAGUGUUAAAAGAAAUUUAUAAAGUGAUUCAUGAUAGUUCCUUGAAUAAAAUGCAUGAUUGCAAUUUUGCAAGUACAAACUCUAUGAAUAUUAAUUGUGCUAAUGAUCAUGAUUGUGGUGAUAAUCAUGAUAAUUCUUGUGACCUUGAGAAUUAUGAGCUUCAUGUUGAAUCUACUAUUGAUAUUCAAAUUGUCAGUGCUUCAUUCUUCCUACUUGCAUAUGCUAGACAUUUAUUGUCUUGAUAAAAAAAUUUCUUAUAAAAUGCAUAUGCAUAGGAAGUAUGUUAGACUUAAAUUUGCUUGUCACAUAUUUAAUGAUGCUCUCUUUGUGCUUUAAUUCUUUUAUUUCAUGUGAGCAUCACUAUUAUCCCAAACCCAUAUUAAUGGCUACAAAGAAAGAGCUUGUUGGGACACAACCCAAUACUUUCUAUAAUUUUGAGUUAACAUGAUUAUUUCUAUUGAAAUGAUUGUGUUUUAGUGUUUUAGUUAGUGUUUGUGCCUCAUGGCCUUGGAGAGGCGCGUCCUCGCCGGCAAGGCCACCCUCGUGGCGGAGCGCGAGGAGGCCCUUGCUAGUGCAAACGCGGGGGUAGCUCGAUAGCGGGCGGCCACCAUGGAGGAGUACCACGGCUAGCUCGCCCGACAAGAGACCUUCCUCCAGCUUAAGUACGAUGCGCUCCAAGAGGAGGUAAGUGCGCUCAGGGUCCGUCUGUAUGGGCUCAAGCCGCCCUAGAAGCCACCUCCAGGAGCGAGGGGAGGCCAAGGAGGAGAUGACAUUGCUCCUGGCCCAUGUUGGUGAAGCCGUCGAUGUUGCGCAUGCGGCCAAGGACGAUGUGGUGCACAUGCGAUGCACGACGGCGCAUGCGUGUCACAUGGAGGAGAGGUGUGCCCUGUGGUUCAAGGGAGUUGGCCCUGCACGCGGGCACCACGCUCCACCGCUUCAUCAGGGAUGCCCCCACGCCGUCGUGAACUUAUGGCGAUGGAGGCCACCCCGACUUCCUCCUCAUGGUGGUGGAGGCACUAGAGUCGAGCGCUUCCAAGGUGGAGGAAGACAUCGAGUCCGGCGUGCGCGACCUCCUCGGCAACACGCUCACGCGCGUCUUCUCCAACCUGUGCCGCCACAAUCCCACGUUUGACCUAUCUCGUGCGAGGGAGACGGUCCGUGUGGAGCUCUAGAGCCCUCUCAGGGACAAGGUGCGCGGGCAGGUGGAGUCUCUGGUUGGGCGGUUCGCCCAGACAGUGCCUCCCAAGGAGGGCGAUAGCCNNNNNNNNNNNNNNNNNNNNNNNNNNNNNNNNNNNNNNNNNNNNNNNNNNNNNNNNNNNNNNNNNNNNNNNNNNNNNNNNNNNNNNNNNNNNNNNNNNNNCAUGGACGGAGAGGCGGAGCCGUGCGUACCUCGAAGGUGAUGUGGCUGGCGCAGAAGUAGUCGGCCUCGACGGCGAAGGAGGCGGAGUAGAAGGUGCCGACCUGGUGCCCCGACGGGUCGGUGUCCGACGCCCGCGCGUUCCAUGUGAUCACCGUGCGCCCGGUCCCCAUGCCGAUCAGCGACACGAACGGCUUCGUGAUCGGCACCGUCACCUUCUCCCU